Carassius auratus (goldfish) is the source of this 1814-nucleotide long non-coding RNA. The record is from Ensembl. NCBI's taxonomy places the organism in Eukaryota, Metazoa, Chordata, Actinopteri, Cypriniformes, Cyprinidae.
AAUGCAUCGCAUGAUUUUCUGGUUGUGGAUCUGCUUUUGUUCACACUAGCUGUGAAAACUGCUUAUAUAAAAGUAUACAAAAAAUUAUAUUAAUAAUUAGUAAAACUUGAAUUGAACCCAAAAUAUAUGUUCAAGACUCUGAAACUACCUCUUUAAAUAUGAAAAUACCAUUAGAUAAUGACCCUGCGGAAUGUAAUGUUGCUAUUUAACGAUAUGAUGUAACAUUCACAAAAAUGCUACAAAAUAAAAUGGAAUAAACCGUAAAACAAAGAAAAGGAAAAAGUCAUGGUGAAUUCAAUUAAAUAUUUACAUUUUCAAAAAAAAUUAUAACCUGCACAUCAACCUGCAACACACACGCACGCACGCACACACGCACGCACACACACACACACACACACACACAUGCGCGCGCGCACACACACACACACGUAUAUAUAUUGCUAUUUUGAAGUAAACAAAAGCCCAAACAAUCAAUGGUGAAUCAAACUACUGUAACAUCAGGUAAGUGGAGCUUCCUAAAAAUACAUGGAUGGUGAAUGUAUGAACACAUGCAAGUUAACUAAAAACUGGGGAUUUGUGACCCUUUAAAGUAACAAUAUGUGAACAUUUUAUCUACAUAUUUGCAUCAAUAUGGAUUUAUUGGUGAUUGCUAACUUUGAUUGUCUGCUGUUUUAGUGUCCGCCCCUUUGACACACACACACACACACACACACACACACACAUACUACAUACCGUCACAGAUGACAUUUCGACCUGUUUUUCCUUCACUGAAUGUCAUGACAGGGUCUGUCCAGCUCCAGGAAACAGGGAAUGGAGGGACCCAGCGGGGCUGCUGAGCUCCUGUGGUCUGUAUGGCCUGAGGGGGUCAAAGGUCGCAGGAGACACAACAGGAGAGCACUCAGUCCUGACUCAAAGCUACAAAGAGCCUCUCGUAGCUCAGACAGAAAGACAGAGCUGGAAUUCUACAACAAUGUGGCAGUAAUUCUGUGAGCUUUACCCACAAAUCCAUCAUCUCUCUGCUAUAGUCAUCAUCAGCCAUUUUUUACAUUAUUUUUUUAAACAAAAUGGAUGCUUCACUGGUGCCAUUUGGGAUCAACAGCUCUGAAGAGAAAUGUUCCCUCAGCUGUGAAGCUCAGGAAUGGAGAAUUUUUCAUCAUGAGCCGAUGGUCUGUUUUUCUCUCAUUCACAUUCAAUUUUGGGCUCAUUGAAUCCAGCUGAGUCCAACCAUGAAGCUUCUUUAGAGGCAGCCAGAAGAUGAGCUACACCAGACAACCUGGCAUCAGACUUUCUUCAUGCAUUAUUCAAGCAAAAUGGGUCACCAUGUGUAUGCUAAUAUAUCUGACCAAAAAUAAUUAAAUCAUUCAGAGCUCCCAUUUAUUUGGUUGACAAGCUUUGUUGACUCACUUCUUCUGGCUCACACAUUCUUUUGUACAUCUAUAGUCUUCCUGUCUUAAAUCCCUCUGUUAUUAAAACAUUAUUAGAUUAAAUAGUGUCUGGCUUUACGCUGACACCCUGCCUGCUAUCUCCACAUCACAAGCUGGACAAACACUGAAACCCUGGUAUUCUGUAUGUGUGGUGAGGGUUUAAAUCAUUCGCUCUGAUAAAAUCAACACCAUUUUAUAAAUGGAUGGUCUAUGUCUAUAGUAUAGUUCAACUAUGACCUAUACUCUGGAAAAAAAUGAUCUGGAUGUACAAUAGCAUAGAGUGAAGUAAAAUGGGUCUUCUGCAAUCAACUGAAAUUCCAAUAAAUUAAAAUAACUCUAAAUUAAAUAAACUAUGUUGAUUAUAAUAGAGCUAUAGCAAAAGUGGACUGC